RNAcentral lists this ribosomal RNA (430 nucleotides) under uncultured bacterium. RNAcentral's name for it is "bacterial SSU rRNA". It matches the Rfam family "Bacterial small subunit ribosomal RNA", at positions 960 to 1391 of the family's 1533-position model. The record is from RNAcentral.
CGCGAAGAACCUUACCUGGUCUUGACAUCCACAGAACAUUCCAGAGAUGGGAUGGUGCCUUCGGGAACUGUGAGACAGGUGCUGCAUGGCUGUCGUCAGCUCGUGUUGUGAAAUGUUGGGUUAAGUCCCGCAACGAGCGCAACCCUUGUUAUUAGUUGCCAGCAUUAAGUUGGGCACUCUAAUGAGACUGCCGGUGACAAACCGGAGGAAGGUGGGGAUGACGUCAAGUCAUCAUGCCCCUUAUGACCUGGGCUACACACGUGCUACAAUGGGCAGUACAACGAGAAGCGAGCCUGCGAAGGCAAGCGAAUCUCUGAAAGCUGUUCUCAGUUCGGACUGCAGUCUGCAACUCGACUGCACGAAGCUGGAAUCGCUAGUAAUCGCGGAUCAGCACGCCGCGGUGAAUACGUUCCCGGGUCUUGUACACACC